Molecule: long non-coding RNA, 1321 nt
Organism: Passer domesticus (house sparrow)
Lineage: Eukaryota; Metazoa; Chordata; Aves; Passeriformes; Passeridae
Exons: 3
Source: RefSeq, a predicted model, not a curated record
AUCAGGGCCAAGCUGUGUUGGAACUCUGGAGAGAGUCAGGAGUUUGCAUCAGUAUCUUCUUAGCAUUCAGUUUUUCAGCUCCUGGGAAGCCAUCCUGCGUGGAGGUGUCCACACUGGCAUUGUACCCUGUGAUCCUCCCUGUGGAACGUGCCAGGCUUAGUCAUUUAAGUCCAACCUGGAACCUGAGUGUGCCUGGAUACAGAGCUGGAAAGUGAACACCUGGAUGGUUUCUGCAACAUGGUUUCUGUAAAACUUCUAACUGAACAUCUUCAUCUUACUGAAGACACUGGGACCAAUUCUACUGCUUCCAUUAAAACAUUUUUUCACUCAAAAUUCACGUCCUGGUAAUUCAAACCAUCUCAGAUCAAAACAAUCUUAUCUCAGCAGAAACUGAUCCAAGUAUUGCAUGAGUCAGAACAAAAACAAAACAUGGUUUCCAUUUUCCAAGGAUAACUUUCCAACUUUGUGAGUCAAAGCAAAAAUGUUUAAGAAUCAUGCUUAAGCUAUAUCUAAGUUUCCCUGCAGACCAAAGCUGCAUGAUUCUGCUUCACACAUUGCUGUUAUCUAUAAAAUUCACAUCUUCUGCUGGAAGUAUUUACUAAGUACAUCAUCCUAUUACCUAUGAAUCUGGAGUAAAGAGGACUGGAAUAACCUCUAUGUGCUACAUACAUGACUUGAUCAGACAACAAUUCCAUUCAUCAAGGAUUUGGUUCAAGUUUUCUGUUAGGGUGGUUUGGUUUUGUUUUGGUUUGGGGUUUUUGGUUCUUUUUGGUUUUGGUGGGGUUUUUUGUUUUUUGUGGGUUUUUUUGUUGUUGUUGUUGUUGUUGUUGUUGUUUGGGGGUUUUUUGGAUUUGUUUUUUUUUUAAUACAGGCUCAACAAGAUUUUGACAACUUUAGGUUAAGGCAGAUUAAAGAGUAUGAAUCAACUGAUAACCAGCUGCCAGCUGAAACACCAGAAAGUGCAUAAAUCACUCAUUAGUGGUCCUACAAGCAUAGCUCUGCCUCAGCAACAAGCUGCCCCAGGAAAUCAUGAAUGCCCAGGAUUGUACUGGGUACCAACCCAGAGUGGGCUCCCAGCCCUGGCUCAAAGGAAAAGCCCCACAAUCACCUUGCUCUGCACAGUUUUGUCCAUGCUGGAGACACAAACUGCAGCAGUUCCUGACUCACAGCAGGCACAAUGUGGAGCACUGACCUGCUCUGUGCCAGGAGGAUGAAGGCAGUACUGGCAGUUCUUACACUUUACAUGUCACAGGUUCCAUCCAACUUAAAUUUGCACUGCCUGUGUUUAGUAGAAGAUGCAGCACAACCACUCCAACACAUA